CGCGGGAUGGAGCAGUCUGGUAGCUCGUCGGGCUCAUAACAGGCUCAUAACCCGAAGGUCGUCGGUUCAAAUCCGGCUCCCGCAACCA
RNAcentral lists this transfer RNA (88 nucleotides) under Pseudomonas syringae ICMP 19498. RNAcentral's name for it is "tRNA-Met". It matches the Rfam family "tRNA". From Rfam's summary of the family: Transfer RNA (tRNA) molecules are approximately 80 nucleotides in length. Their secondary structure includes four short double-helical elements and three loops (D, anti-codon, and T loops). The record is from RNAcentral. Lineage: Bacteria; Pseudomonadati; Pseudomonadota; Gammaproteobacteria; Pseudomonadales; Pseudomonadaceae.